GGAUUUCUGUUAAUAUUUUAUAUUAUUAAUUUAUUAUUAUUAAUAUAAUAUUAACAUAAUUCAUAUUACUUUUUUUGAGUAUAUGAAAUUUUACUUUGAGAAAAUUAGAGUGCUUAAAGCAGGCAUUUGCCUUGAAUACUCCAGCAUGGAAUAAUAUUAAAGAUUUUUAUCUUUCUUAUUGGUUCUAAGAUAGAAAUAAUGAUUAAUAGGGACAGUUGGGGGCAUUUGUAUUUAACAGUCAGAGGUGAAAUUCUUAGAUUUGUUAAAGACAAACUAAUGCGAAAGCAUUUGCCAAGGAUGUUUUCAUUAAUCAAGAACGAAAGUUAGGGGAUCGAAGACGAUCAGAUACCGUCGUAGUCUUAACCAUAAACUAUGCCAACUAGAGAUUGGAGGUUGUUCCUUACUCCUC
This 409-nucleotide ribosomal RNA is filed under the name Cryptosporidium sp. RNAcentral describes it as "SSU rRNA". It matches the Rfam family "Eukaryotic small subunit ribosomal RNA", at positions 662 to 1080 of the family's 1831-position model. The record is from RNAcentral. Lineage: Eukaryota; Apicomplexa; Conoidasida; Eucoccidiorida; Cryptosporidiidae.